This 130-nucleotide non-coding RNA is filed under the name Cephalotus follicularis. RNAcentral describes it as "Bacterial small subunit ribosomal RNA". It matches the Rfam family "Bacterial small subunit ribosomal RNA", at positions 1388 to 1520 of the family's 1533-position model. The record is from Rfam by way of RNAcentral. Lineage: Eukaryota; Viridiplantae; Streptophyta; Magnoliopsida; Oxalidales; Cephalotaceae.
CAUGGGCGUUCCUGAAUGUAGCUGGCCAUGCCCGAAGUUGUUACCUUAACCACAAGGAGGGGGAUGCCGAAGGCAGGGCUAGUGACUGGAGUGAAGUCGUGACAAGGUAGCCGUACUGAAGGUGCGGCUG